RNAcentral lists this ribosomal RNA (265 nucleotides) under uncultured bacterium. Its description in RNAcentral is "partial 16S ribosomal RNA". It matches the Rfam family "Bacterial small subunit ribosomal RNA", at positions 57 to 305 of the family's 1533-position model. The record is from RNAcentral.
GCAAGUCGAGCGUGAAAUUUAUGAAUGAUCCUUCGGGUGAAUGAUUGAAUGGAAAGCGGCGGACGGGUGAGUAACGCGUAGGUAACCUUCCUUAUGCUGGGGGAUAGCCAUUGGAAACGAUGAUUAAUACCCCAUAAGACUACAGUAUCGCAUGAUACAGUGGUAAAAGAUUGAUCGGCAUAAGAUGGACCUGCGUCUGAUUAGCUAGUUGGUAAGGUAAUGGCUUACCAAGGCGACGAUCAGUAGCCGACCUGAGAGGGGGAGC